Molecule: unclassified non-coding RNA, 294 nt
Filed under: uncultured Cortinarius
Lineage: Eukaryota; Fungi; Basidiomycota; Agaricomycetes; Agaricales; Cortinariaceae
Description: sequence contains ITS2
Rfam family: 5.8S ribosomal RNA (bases 1-52)
Source: RNAcentral
AACGCACCUUGCGCUCCUUGGUAUUCCGAGGAGCAUGCCUGUUUGAGUGUCAUUAAUAUAUCAAUCUCUUCAGCUUUUGCUUGUUGAGUGUUGGAUGUGGGGGUCUUUUUUUGCUGGUCUUUCCAAGGUCAGCUCCCCUGAAAUGCAUUAGCGGAACAAUUUGUGGACCGUUCAUUGGUGUGAUAACUAUCUACGCUAUUGACGUGAAGCAGUUCAGCUUAUAACAGUCCAUUCACUUGGACAAAUUUUCAUUAAUGUGACCUCAAAUCAGGUAGGACUACCCGCUGAACUUAA